AUUGAACGCUGGCGGCAGGCCUAACACAUGCAAGUCGAGCGAGCGGCGGACGGGUGAGGAAUGUAUGGGGGCUGCCCGAUAGAGGGGGAGAACUACUGGAAACGGUAACUAAUAACGCAUACUAUCGGAUAACCCAUAUGGGAUUAGCUAGUAGGUGGGGUAAUGGCUCACCUAGGCGACGAUCCCUAGCUGGUCUGAGAGGAUGAUCAGCCACACUGGAACUGAGACACGGUCCAGACUCCUACGGAGGCAGCAGUGGGGAAUAUUGCACAAUGGGCGAAAGCCUGAUGCAGCCAUGCCGCGUGUAUGAAGAAGGUCCUAGGGUUGUAAAGCACUUUAAGUCGGGAGGCGUUACCGACAGAAGAAGCACCGGCUAACUCCGUGCCAGCAGCCGCGGUAAUUC
RNAcentral lists this ribosomal RNA (403 nucleotides) under uncultured bacterium. Its description in RNAcentral is "partial 16S ribosomal RNA". It matches the Rfam family "Bacterial small subunit ribosomal RNA", at positions 30 to 526 of the family's 1533-position model. The record is from RNAcentral.